Small nuclear RNA from Jaculus jaculus (lesser Egyptian jerboa), 107 nucleotides. The record is from RefSeq and is a predicted model, not a curated record. Lineage: Eukaryota; Metazoa; Chordata; Mammalia; Rodentia; Dipodidae.
GUGCUUGCUUCAGUGGCACAUACACUAAAAUUGGAACAGUAUAGAGAAGAUUAGCCUGGCUUCUGCACAAGGAUGACAUACAAAUUCAUGAAGUGUUCUAACUAAAU